This 301-nucleotide ribosomal RNA is filed under the name uncultured bacterium. RNAcentral's name for it is "partial 16S ribosomal RNA". It matches the Rfam family "Bacterial small subunit ribosomal RNA", at positions 509 to 807 of the family's 1533-position model. The record is from RNAcentral.
CAGUCGCCGCGGUAAUACGAAGGGUGCAAGCGCUACUCGGAAUUACUGGGCGUAAAGCGUGCGUAGGUGGUGGUUUAAGUCCGUUGUGAAAGCCCUGGGCUCAACCUGGGAAUUGCAGUGGAUACUGGGUCACUAGAGUGUGGUAGAGGAUAGUGGAAUUUCCGGUGUAGCAGUGGAAUGCGUAGAGAUCGGAAGGAACAUCUGUGGCGAAGGCGACUAUCUGGGCCAACACUGACACUGAGGCACGAAAGCGUGGGGAGCAAACAGGAUUAGAUACCCCCGUAGUCCCUGUCUCUUAUAC